GAUGAAGAACGUAGUGAAAUGCGAUAAGUAAUGCGAAUUGCAGAAUUUCCGUGAGUCAUCGAAUCUUUGAACGCACAUUGCGCCCACUGGUAUUCCGGUGGGCAUGCCUGUUCGAGCGUCAUUAUCCUCCCUCAAACCUCUGUGUUUGGUGUUGGGCCGCGUUGGCGUCACAGCCAACUGGUCUCAAAGACAAUGACGGCGUCCGUGGGACCCUCUUCGCAACGAGCAUCUUCGGAAGCACGCGUCGAGUCUAAAGGACCUUCCGGGCCGGUCUACCCUUUAUCUUUCUAAGGUUGACCUCGGAUCAGGUAGGAAUACCCGCUGAACUUAAGCAUAUCAAUAAGCGGA
This 348-nucleotide unclassified non-coding RNA is filed under the name soil metagenome. RNAcentral describes it as "partial contains 5.8S ribosomal RNA, internal transcribed spacer 2, and large subunit ribosomal RNA". The stretch from base 1 to 121 matches the Rfam family "5.8S ribosomal RNA", at positions 35 to 154 of the family's 154-position model. The record is from RNAcentral.